RNAcentral lists this ribosomal RNA (536 nucleotides) under Pyrenochaeta sp. JZ-76. RNAcentral's name for it is "eukaryotic LSU rRNA". The stretch from base 167 to 320 matches the Rfam family "5.8S ribosomal RNA". The record is from RNAcentral. Lineage: Eukaryota; Fungi; Ascomycota; Dothideomycetes; Pleosporales; Cucurbitariaceae.
GGGCAUUUCAUUUUAAGUCCUGGGAUGGGGGUAAAAACUCCAUCCCAUGCUGUUCAACCCUUUGUCUUUUGCGUACUGUAUGUUUCCUCGGCGGGUUCGCCCGCCGAUAGGACACUUCAAAACCUUUUGUAAUUGCAAUCAGCGUCAGAAAAACUAUAAUAGUUACAACUUUCAACAACGGAUCUCUUGGUUCUGGCAUCGAUGAAGAACGCAGCGAAAUGCGAAAAGUAGUGUGAAUUGCAGAAUUCAGUGAAUCAUCGAAUCUUUGAACGCACAUUGCGCCCCUUGGUAUUCCAUGGGGCAUGCCUGUUCGAGCGUCAUUUGUACCCUCAAGCUCUGCUUGGUGUUGGGUGUUUGUCCCGCCUUCGCACGUGGACUCGCCUUAAAGUGAUUGGCAGCCGGAAUAAUUCUGGGGAACGCAGCACAACUGCAGCCUCCAUUUUACGCCGAGCGUCCAGUAAGCCUUUUUUCAACGUUUGACCUCGGAUCAGGUAGGGAUACCCGCUGAACUUAAGCAUAUCAAGCGGGGGAAGAAA